This 253-nucleotide ribosomal RNA is filed under the name uncultured bacterium. Its description in RNAcentral is "partial 16S ribosomal RNA". It matches the Rfam family "Bacterial small subunit ribosomal RNA", at positions 524 to 776 of the family's 1533-position model. The record is from RNAcentral.
UACAGAGGUGCCAAGCGUUAGGCGGAAUCACUGGGCUUAAAGCGUGUGUAGGCGGAAUUGUAAGUACCUUGUGAAAUCCCACGGCUCAACCGUGGAACUGCUCGGUAUACUGCUUUUCUUGAGCCACUUAGGGGCUACCGGAACAAAUGGUGGAGCGGUGAAAUGCGUAGAUAUCAUUUGGAACGCCAAUGGUGAAAACAGGUAGCUGGGAGUGUGCUGACGCUGAGACACGAAAGCCAGGGGAGCGAACGGG